GUGCCAGCAGCCGCGGUAAUACGGAGGGUGCAAGCGUUAUCCGGAAUCACUGGGUUUAAAGGGUGCGUAGGCGGCUGUAUAAGUCAGGGGUGAAAGGCUACAGCUUAACUGUGGAAUUGCCUUUGAUACUGUAUAGCUUGAAUAAGGAUGAGGUUGGCGGAAUGUGACAUGUAGCGGUGAAAUGCAUAGAUAUGUCAUAGAACACCAAUUGCGAAGGCAGCUAACUGGGCCUUUAUUGACGCUGAGGCACGAAAGCGUGGGGAUCAAACAGGAUUAGAAACCCUCGUAGUCC
RNAcentral lists this ribosomal RNA (292 nucleotides) under uncultured bacterium. Its description in RNAcentral is "partial 16S ribosomal RNA". It matches the Rfam family "Bacterial small subunit ribosomal RNA", at positions 505 to 796 of the family's 1533-position model. The record is from RNAcentral.